Molecule: transfer RNA, 92 nt
Filed under: Lodderomyces parapsilosis
Lineage: Eukaryota; Fungi; Ascomycota; Pichiomycetes; Serinales; Debaryomycetaceae
Also listed under: 1 other name
Description: tRNA-Met
Rfam family: tRNA
About the family: Transfer RNA (tRNA) molecules are approximately 80 nucleotides in length. Their secondary structure includes four short double-helical elements and three loops (D, anti-codon, and T loops). Further hydrogen bonds mediate the characteristic L-shaped molecular structure. tRNAs have two regions of fundamental functional importance: the anti-codon, which is responsible for specific mRNA codon recognition, and the 3' end, to which the tRNAs corresponding amino acid is attached (by aminoacyl-tRNA synthetases). tRNAs cope with the degeneracy of the genetic code in two manners: having more than one tRNA (with a specific anti-codon) for a particular amino acid; and 'wobble' base-pairing, i.e. permitting non-standard base-pairing at the 3rd anti-codon position.
Source: RNAcentral
GCUUCUGUAGUUUAGUUGGUUAGAACAUUUGUCUCAUAUUGCUAACGACAUGAGUCAUCAGAAGAUCGUGAGUUCGAACCUCACUAGAAGCA